AGUGAACGCUGGCGGUAGGCCUAACACAUGCAAGUCGAACGGCAGCACAGUAAGAGCUUGCUCUUACGGGUGGCGAGUGGCGGACGGGUGAGGAAUACAUCGGAAUCUACUUUUUCGUGGGGGAUAACGUAGGGAAAGUUACGCUAAUACCGCAUACGAUCUACGGGUGGAAGCAGGGGAUCUUCGGACCUUGCGCGAUUGAAUGAGCCGAUGUCGGAUUAGCUAGUUGGCGGGGUAAAGGCCCACCAAGGCGACGAUCCGUAGCUGGCCUGAGAGGAUGAUCGGCCACACUGGAACUGAGACACGGUCCAGACUCCUACGGGAGGCAGCAGUAGGGAAUAUUGGGCAAUGGGCGGAAGCCUGAUCCAGCCAUACCGCGUGGGUGAAGAAGGCCUUCGGGUUGUAAAGCCCUUUUGUUGGGAAAGAAAAGCAGCAGGUUAAUACGCCGCUGUUCUGACGGUACCCAAAGAAUAAGCACCGGCUAACUUCGUG
This 492-nucleotide ribosomal RNA is filed under the name uncultured bacterium. RNAcentral describes it as "partial 16S ribosomal RNA". It matches the Rfam family "Bacterial small subunit ribosomal RNA", at positions 29 to 507 of the family's 1533-position model. The record is from RNAcentral.